Molecule: ribosomal RNA, 484 nt
Filed under: uncultured bacterium
Lineage: Bacteria
Description: partial 16S ribosomal RNA
Rfam family: Bacterial small subunit ribosomal RNA
Source: RNAcentral
AUUGAACGCUGGCGGCAGGCCUAACACAUGCAAGUCGAGCGGAUGAAGGGAGCUUGCUCUUGGAUUCAGCGGCGGACGGGUGAGUAAUGCCUAGGAAACUGCCCGGUAGUGGGGGAUAACGUCCGGAAACGGGCGCUAAUACCGCAUACGUCCUGAGGGAGAAAGUGGGGGAUCUUCGGAACUCACGCUAUCAGAUGAGCCUAGGUCGGAUUAGCUAGUUGGUGGGGUAAAGGCCUACCAAGGCGACGAUCCGUAACUGGUCUGAGAGGAUGAUCAGUCACACUGGAACUGAGACACGGUCCAGACUCCUACGGGAGGCAGCAGUGGGGAAUAUUGGACAAUGGGCGAAAGCCUGAUCCAGCCAUGCCGCGUGUGUGAAGAAGGUCUUCGGAUUGUAAAGCACUUUAAGUUGGGAGGAAGGGCAGUAAGUUAAUACCUUGCUGUUUUGACGUUACCAACAGAAUAAGCACCGGCUAACUUCGUG